CCUCACUGCUGCACCCCAGUGCCUGGAGAGUGUGGGCCCAGAAGGCAUCUGAUAAACACCUGCAGGAGGAGCGAGGGCACUGGAAGGGGGUGGGCGGAGAGAGCCUCUGCUUGACUUGGAAAGUGCAAGAGCAUAGGCCCUACCAUGCGAAACAGUGCCACGACACACACCGUGCACACACAGGAAGGAAGCCCGCUGCGUGGACGUGAUUCCCUGGGUGAACAGUCACACUCCUCAUGGGGAGCUGGUGCAGGUGCCUGUUGGGCUGGCCUUGGUUUGUGCAGCACUUGCGGUUCACAGGGGCUCAGAGGAGCAAGUCAGUGCCCAAGAUUACAUAACACCAAGGGGCCAGCCCUGUGUCCUUCACAGUGCACCUGCCACCAGGAGAAAGGAAGGUCUGGAAGUUGAAGCUACUCUGCCAUCAAAAGAAAGAGCUGGGACAGCCUCUCUUCCAGGGUGCAGUUUCUGUUCAUCUCACACACUCAUUCCAAGCCCUACCAACAUCCAGGGGAGCUGACUGACAGGAGGAAGGUUGGUGGCCAAAGGUCAGCCUGUUUUAGGGCAACUUCAGAGGACUCCUAGGCAGCUACCCUGCCCACAGGCAUUCCCUGCGGCCUACCGCCCACCGCUCUGCGCUCUGGUCCUCCCCUCAGGGGGUCAGAAAACUUGCUGUGCUGUGCAGAAACCACAGAUGCGCGGACUUGCACCCUGUACUUCCUUUAUCAUCGGAAGUUCUCCCUAAUGGAAGGCAGGGAAGAAACAGCCCUCCGCAAAAGAUAAGGAGCAGAAGCCGAGCGAAAAGCCAGAACCCUGCGGGCAUCUCCCCGGGGAGGAGGGCAGGCUGUGGAUGAUAAUGAAGACGGUGCUUGCUGCCAUGACAACCACAAGCACUCAGCCACAGUACCCAGGGCUCGGAAGCCAGGAUACCUACAGACUGUUUUAUUCUCCAGCAGGACCAGUGCGUCAAGGGAGGUGGAGGCCAAAG
RNAcentral lists this long non-coding RNA (985 nucleotides) under Heterocephalus glaber (naked mole-rat). Its description in RNAcentral is "lncRNA (ENSHGLG00100042467.1)". Lineage: Eukaryota; Metazoa; Chordata; Mammalia; Rodentia; Bathyergidae. The record is from RNAcentral.